CACACGGGGACUGAGACACGGCCCCGACUCCUACGGGAGGCAGCAGCAAGGAAUUUUCCACAAUGGGCGCAAGCCUGAUGGAGCAACGCCGCGUGGGGGAUGACGCUUUUCGGAGUGUAAACCCCUUUUCGGGAGGACGAAGCCAAUGACGGUACUCCCGGAAGAAGGACCGGCUAACUACGUGCCAGCCGCCGCCGUAACAC
This 203-nucleotide ribosomal RNA is filed under the name uncultured bacterium. Its description in RNAcentral is "partial 16S ribosomal RNA". It matches the Rfam family "Bacterial small subunit ribosomal RNA", at positions 309 to 526 of the family's 1533-position model. The record is from RNAcentral.